ACGCUCGACACCUGGAGGCAGCAGUGGGGAAUAUUGCACAAUGGGGGAAACCCUGAUGCAGCGACGCCGCGUGAGCGAAGAAGUAUUUCGGUAUGUAAAGCUCUAUCAGCAGGGAAGAAAGUGACGGUACCUGACUAAGAAGCACCGGCUAAAUACGUGCCAUCAGCCGCGGUAAUCUGAGCGGGCUGGCAAGGC
This 195-nucleotide ribosomal RNA is filed under the name uncultured bacterium. Its description in RNAcentral is "partial 16S ribosomal RNA". It matches the Rfam family "Bacterial small subunit ribosomal RNA", at positions 328 to 539 of the family's 1533-position model. The record is from RNAcentral.